RNAcentral lists this small nuclear RNA (99 nucleotides) under Microtus ochrogaster (prairie vole). Lineage: Eukaryota; Metazoa; Chordata; Mammalia; Rodentia; Cricetidae. The record is from RNAcentral.
GUACACUGAACUACAGACACUAAAGCUGGAACAACACAGAGAUUAGCACGGCUUCUGGGCAAGGACAGCACACAAACUCAUGAAACAUUCCACAAUUUU